AUCGGAGGAGCAGUGCCUGCCCAGCGCCCACCCAGGCUUCCCUUGUAGAACAAAGAAAAAAUUCUCACGUAGCUGGGCUCCCGUAUACGCGCGCCCGGCCGGCCUCCUCCACAGCCAGGGCAGGACUCGACCGCGCGGGGCCGGCCGGAACAAGAGACCUAUUUUGCAUCCAUGAUUAAUCUUUUCUGUGUUGAUUUAACUAUACAAUAAGCUCAAUAGAUGCUUUCCUGUCAAGUACCUGUAAAAAUAUAAAACGAUUUUUUUUCCAGAUAAAAAACACGGAGUACAAAUGAGCAUGGCUAUAUUUUAGGCGUCUGAUUUUUAAGGAAAAAACUUCAAAAUAGUCGCCGCAUCAGAACGUGUUGUCCUUGGUUAAGAUUCGAUGAUCAAACACGUCCACUGAUCUCUGACUAAACUAAAAAAAAGAUGACUUCUUAAUAGCAAAACCGAAAGUACUCUUCAUAAUUUUAUGGAACAAAUAUAGACCUAAAAUUAUUCUAGUUUCAGGUUGCUUCGAGUUGAAGAUGUACGCAAAAUCCUCAAAGCACUAGAGCCUUAGGGAAUAUCUACACUAGUAAGUUCUUUUCCUUUCUUCUGGACAUGCUUAGCAGUGUAGAUACUCCCUAAGGCUUCGGUCGUAUUGGAUUGUUGUGGACAUUUGAGAAUCGUUGCAUGCAAAAGUGCUAAGCAUGCCCAACCUCCCCAGUGCCUGACACCUCCACCGCUCGUGGCUGCCUCGCGAUUCGGACACAGCUGCCAUUUUCCCCCACGCCUGAUUUUUCAUCCGCGUUUCUCACCUGUUUAAUCCUUCGAUAAAGCUGACCUCCCCUCCUGCGCCUCUGCUCCAUCCAGAGCACCUCAGGCCUACAUUGCUAGGAUGUAGCAUGUUACCGUUGCCGGCCGGACGCCCGUGACCCUUCAUUAUUUGGCGAUGCCGACGGCGACACCUUUCAACACCCCCACCCCCUCAGACGAUCAGCGGCUAUGGUGGUGGACGAGCCGUACUGGUGUCCUUUCCCGAUGGUGAGGUACCUCCUGUCGCCGGCCGCCUCCCACCGCCUGCCCUUAAGCCAGAGCAUGGCGCAAGGGUUCAUGGCUCCGGGCGUCCCUCUCUCCUCUUCAAAGCUGACCACCGCAUCUUCCGCGCCAUUGCGUUCAUGUGCCACCAUGGCAUCGAUGUCGACGCCGUCCCAGGAGAGGAGGCGGCACGGGUCGGCACGGAAAGAGGGCGCUGCAGUGGCGCGUCCCAGGAGAGCAGCAGGCCAGGGCAACGGGCCUCGGAAUGCUGAGGUCCAGUCGCCGACGGCCACGAGGUUCCUGUGGGCGCGGAGGGAUGCCUUCCUAGCCGCCCGCCGUCAUCUUCUUCCGGCAGGUGAACAGCGGCGGCACCACGUCAAUCGGCUCAGCAAAACAGGUUCUUCCCGCUGAGCUCGGAGUCAGGGGCCUGGUUCGGCCAUUGCUACAUACCCAGGCACUGCCUCGUGCUCCUGAUUGGCAACGGCCAGUGCCCCAUAGUCAAUAGUGGAAUCCCUUGAAUGUUGGUCAGUAAGCUGCUGCAGAUUUCUUGCAAUUUGUGUUUGAUUUGAUUUCUGAAUAAUUUUUAUUUCUUGCUUCGUCGUCGAUGUUGCUGGCCCAUCACCUGUUUGUGAUAAUGCUUAUGAGGGGCCUCGUACUAGUUCUUAUGUUGUUUAUUCCUACUAGAUGUUUGUGUAAUUACCGAGUGGUUUUGUUCAGAACUUGAUCCCCAAAUCUUCAGUUAAGAUCAGACCACAUCAGCCCCGACAUGGCGGACCUCACGGAGCUGUGCCUCGGCAUCCUCGCCGACGAGUGGACGCCGUGACGGUCUCGCCCUCUUGGCGUGCAAGGAGACACCCAGGCAACGUGCUCAGUCGUGAGGAAUUUGCAGGUGCAGGUGCCGGCCGGCAUCGGCGUCGAGCAGAGCGUUUUGGGGAUGAAGAAGCACAUGGAUUUUGUAGUCGCAAUAACUUCCAGUGUUGCCUUUCGUUUGGAUCUGAAGAUAGUGCUUGUUUGAAGGGGAAACAUCCAUCAGGAUGAUACCUGUGCUUAGGCUGCUACUUGCCGUGCUCAGUCGUGAGGAAUUUGCAGGUGCAGGUGCCGGCCGGCAUCGGCGUCGAGCAGAGCGUUUUGGGGAUGAAGAAGCACAUGGAUUUUGUAGUCGCAAUAACUUCCAGUGUUGCCUUUCGUUUGGAUCUGAAGAUAGUGCUUGUUUGAAGGGGAAACAUCCAUCAGGAUGAUACCUGUGCUUAGGCUGCUACUUGCUCUACUUCAUUCUUCUGGACUUGUCUGCUUUAGUUAUUGAUGUGUACUACUUUUGUUCUUUGGUACAGGUCUGGUACAAGGAUUAGAGCAUUAUACUUGUAUAAUCGAUGAAUUCAGGUUACCGAAUACCGAGCACAAUUUUAUUGAGAUUACUUUUGUCCCUCGGAUUACAAUUUUAAAAAAAAAAAAA
RNAcentral lists this precursor RNA (2470 nucleotides) under Brachypodium distachyon (stiff brome). Its description in RNAcentral is "precursor microRNA 5200a.14". The stretch from base 546 to 637 matches the Rfam family "MIR5200 microRNA precursor family". Lineage: Eukaryota; Viridiplantae; Streptophyta; Magnoliopsida; Poales; Poaceae. The record is from RNAcentral.